This 928-nucleotide ribosomal RNA is filed under the name Arcuphantes pennatus. Its description in RNAcentral is "SSU rRNA". It matches the Rfam family "Eukaryotic small subunit ribosomal RNA", at positions 1 to 938 of the family's 1831-position model. The record is from RNAcentral. Lineage: Eukaryota; Metazoa; Arthropoda; Arachnida; Araneae; Linyphiidae.
UUUCCGCAGUAGUCAUAUGCUUGUCUCAAAGAUUAAGCCAUGCAUGUCUAAGUACGUGCCGUAUUAAGGCGAAACCGCGAAUGGCUCAUUAAAUCAGUUAUGGUUCCUUGGAUCGUACUUUACUACUUGGAUAACUGUGGCAAUUCUAGAGCUAAUACAUGCAGCAGAGCUCCGACCUUCGGGGACGAGCGCUUUUAUUAGACCAAAACCAAUCGGGCCUCGUGUCCGUGAAACGUGGUGACUCUGUAUAACUUUGGGCUGAUCGCACGGGCUCGUCCCGGCGACGUAUCCUUCAAGUGUCUGCCUUAUCAACUGUCGAUGGUAGGUUAUGCGCCUACCAUGGUCGUAACGGGUGACGGGGAAUCAGGGUUCGAUUCCGGAGAGGGAGCCUGAGAAACGGCUACCACAUCCAAGGAAGGCAGCAGGCGCGCAAAUUACCCAAUCCCGGCACGGGGAGGUAGUGACGAAAAAUAACAAUACGGGACUCUUUUGAGACCCCGUAAUUGGAAUGAGUACACUCUAAAUCCUUUAACGAUUAUCAAUUGGAGGGCAAGCCUAGUGCCAGCAGCCGCGGUAAUUCUAGCUCCAAUAGCGUAUAUUAAAGUUGUUGCGGUUAAAAAGCUCGUAGUUGGAUCUCAGUUCCAGACGGGCGGUCCGCCUACCGGCGGUCACUGCCCGUUCUGAACAGGCCAGCCGGUUUCCCUUGAUGAUCUUCACCGGUUGUCUCGGGUGACCGGCAAGUUUACUUUGAAAAAAUUAGAGUGCUCAAAGCAGGCGCGACGCCUGAACAAUGGUGCAUGGAAUAAUGGAAUAGGACCUCGGUUCUAUUUUGUUGGUUUUCGGGACACGAGGUAAUGAUUAAGAGGGACAGACGGGGGCAUUCGUAUUGCGACGCUAGAGGUGAAAUUCUUGGACCGUCGCAAGACGA